This 253-nucleotide ribosomal RNA is filed under the name uncultured bacterium. RNAcentral's name for it is "partial 16S ribosomal RNA". It matches the Rfam family "Bacterial small subunit ribosomal RNA", at positions 524 to 776 of the family's 1533-position model. The record is from RNAcentral.
UACGUAGGGUGCAAGCGUUAAUCGGAAUUACUGGGCGUAAAGCGUGCGCAGGCGGUUAUGUAAGGCAGGUGUGAAAUCCCCGGGCUUAACCUGGGAACUGCAUUUAUGACUGCAUAGCUAGAGUACGGUAGAGGGGGAUGGAAUUCCGCGUGUAGCAGUGAAAUGCGUAGAUAUGCGGAGGAACACCGAUGGCGAAGGCGACUACCUGGCCUGUUCUUGACGCUGAGGCGCGAAAGCUAGGGGAGCAAACGGG